UUGCUUAAAGUGCAUAUGACACGAAAAUUUUUAUUCGCCCCCAUCACGUAAUCGAGUAUGCUGAUCACGAAAAUCACCAUAAAAUUUUCGAAAAACAAACACUUUCGUAAUUACAGCUGUUUCAAGGUCGAUUUUUGCUUCAAAUUCUGUCAUAAGGGAUUGGGUCGAGUUUGACAGGAAGUGACGUAAAGUGGUUGUGUUAGCGAAAAUUUAGAUUGCUAACUAACAAGAAGUUAUACGGCGGAGUUUUACUUGAGAGUCUAUGAACAUGUCUCACGGCAAAUAUUCAAGCUCGAGGGCGUCAGCUUUUGACGAAAGUGAAGGGGAAUAGCUUUUGAUGCUGAUGGGCUAUUUUUGCCUUGCAAGAACGAACCAGUCUUUUUUCUGCGGAUAAUUCAGACGCGGAACCAGGCAUAGCUGGCAUGGCUCGAAGCUUUCAUGACCGGGCAGAGGACGAAGAUGGAAUACAAAAAUCCCAACAGCGUGAUCGAUGGCGAGGAAAUAUUACUUUGAGUCAAUGAUAUCUCUCUGCAAUGGCAUACAGUCUUGGUGUCUGUCAGAGACAAACGUAGAUACUUCAAUUCCAGAACUUCUGAGAGAUUCAAAACCUUGUUGAUGCCAAAGCAACUCCAUCUGUGCAGAGCUUCCGUUAACGCUGCUUGCCUGUGAAGAACAAGGAACACAAAUUUCAAUGUUUACAUUUAACAACAAACAUGAUCCAAGAUUAAUUUUUUGGUCUUUGACCAAGGCUGACCAGGUCAAAGACCACCAUUUCUGUUAUACAGAAACGACUGAGUCCGUGAUUUAAUUGAAAGUUUUUAUAUCAUGUUUUGUUACUUGGUGACUUCUGUUUAUUGUUAAUCGAUUCUCACUUGCAUCUUGAAUCUUUAUCCCAUAGAAUAUCAUUUCCCUGCUUCUUAAAUAUUUCUUGAAUUGCCAACCCCCUGCUUUUUUAGUUUCCAAAACCUUUUUCGCUUUUGUAUAAAAUAUUGAAGUAGUUUACAUUUGUUUAAAUGGUUUAUUUUUAUGUAUUAAAAACGGUGAUAUGGACUCCACACAGAGAGACAAGGAGUCCCUUUUUUCCAUAAAGCGAGUGCCCCCGGUGUUGUCGAGUCAUUACCAAUAACGUAUCUCAGCUGUUACACAAUAGAACGUUGUUAGGCAGUUAUAAAAAAACAAUAGGAAACUUAUUACUCA
Rhopilema esculentum is the source of this 1197-nucleotide non-coding RNA. NCBI's taxonomy places the organism in Eukaryota, Metazoa, Cnidaria, Scyphozoa, Rhizostomeae, Rhizostomatidae. The record is from RefSeq and is a predicted model, not a curated record.